UACACGACCGUACCGCAAACCGACACUGGUGCGCGAGAUGAGUAUUCUAAGGCGCUUGAGAGAACUCAGGAGAAGGAACUCGGCAAAUUGACACCGUAACUUCGGAAGAAGGUGUGCCUUUAGUCAGUGAACCAUUUACUUGGGGAGCUAAACGAGGCUGCAAAAAAUCGGUGGCUGCAACUGUUUAUUAAAAACACAGCACUCUGCUAAGACGAAAGUCGACGUAUAGGGUGUGACGCGUGCCCGGUGCUGGAAGAUUAAAUGAUGGGGUGCAAGCUCUUGAUUGAAGUCCCAGUAAACGGCGGCCGUAACAAUAACGGUCCUAAGGUAGCGAAAUUCCUUGUCGGGUAAGUUCCGACCUGCACGAAUGGCGUAAUGAUGGCCACACUGUCUCCUCCUGAGACUCAGCGAAGUUGAAGUGUUUGUGAUGAUGCAAUCUCCCCGCGGAAAGACGGAAAGACCCCAUGAACCUUUACUGUAGCUUUGUAUUGGACUUUGAACAGAUCUGUGUAGGAUAGGUGGGAGGCUUUGAAGCCAGGACGCUAGUUCUGGUGGAGCCAACGUUGAAAUACCACCCUGGUGUGUUUGAGGUUCUAACCUAGGUCCAUUAUCUGGAUCGGGGACAGUGCAUGGUAGGCAGUUUGACUGGGGCGGUCUCCUCCCAAAGUGUAACGGAGGAGUUCGAAGGUACGCUAGUUACGGUCGGACAUCGUGACGAUAGUGCAAUGGCAUAAGCGUGCUUAACUGCGAGACUGACAAGUCGAGCAGAUGCGAAAGCAGGACAUAGUGAUCCGGUGGUUCUGUAUGGAAGGGCCAUCGCUCAACGGAUAAAAGGUACUCUGGGGAUAACAGGCUGAUACCGCCCAAGAGUUCAUAUCGACGGCGGUGUUUGGCACCUCGAUGUCGGCUCAUCUCAUCCUGGGGCUGUAGCCGGUCCCAAGGGUAUGGCUGUUCGCCAUUUAAAGAGGUACGUGAGCUGGGUUUAAAACGUCGUGAGACAGUUUGGUCCCUAUCUUCCGUGGGCGCUGCAGAUUUGAGGAAGCCUGCUCCUAGUACGAGAGGACCGGAGUGGACGAACCUCUGGUGUACCGGUUGUCACGCCAGUGGCAUUGCCGGGUAGCUAAGUUCGGAAGAGAUAACCGCUGAAAGCAUCUAAGCGGGAAACUCGUUUCAAGAUGAGAUCUGCCGGGGCCUUGAGCCCCCUGAAGAGUCGUUCAAGACCAGGACGUUGAUAGGUCAGGUGUGGAAGCGCAGUAAUGCGUUAAGCUAACUGAUACUAAUUGCUCGUGCGGCUUGAUC
This 1299-nucleotide ribosomal RNA is filed under the name metagenome. Its description in RNAcentral is "bacterial LSU rRNA". It matches the Rfam family "Bacterial large subunit ribosomal RNA", at positions 1635 to 2925 of the family's 2925-position model. The record is from RNAcentral.